This 209-nucleotide ribosomal RNA is filed under the name uncultured Rhodoferax sp. Its description in RNAcentral is "partial 16S ribosomal RNA". It matches the Rfam family "Bacterial small subunit ribosomal RNA", at positions 1174 to 1382 of the family's 1533-position model. The record is from RNAcentral. Lineage: Bacteria; Pseudomonadati; Pseudomonadota; Betaproteobacteria; Burkholderiales; Comamonadaceae.
UGGGGAUGACGUCAAGUCCUCAUGGCCCUUAUAGGUGGGGCUACACACGUCAUACAAUGGCUGGUACAAAGGGUUGCCAACCCGCGAGGGGGAGCUAAUCCCAUAAAGCCAGUCGUAGUCCGGAUCGUAGUCUGCAACUCGACUACGUGAAGUCGGAAUCGCUAGUAAUCGUGGAUCAGAAUGUCACGGUGAAUACGUUCCCGGGUCUU